Molecule: ribosomal RNA, 495 nt
Filed under: uncultured bacterium
Lineage: Bacteria
Description: partial 16S ribosomal RNA
Rfam family: Bacterial small subunit ribosomal RNA
Source: RNAcentral
GAUGAACGCUGGCGGCGUGCCUAACACAUGCAAGUCGAACGAAGCACUUUAGCUUGAUUCUUCGGAUGAAGGCUGAUGUGACUGAGUGGCGGACGGGUGAGUAACGCGUGGGUAACCUGCCUCAUACAGGGGGAUAACAGUUAGAAAUGACUGCUAAUACCGCACAAGACCACAGGGUCGCAUGACCCGGUGGGAAAAACUCCGGUGGUAUGAGAUGGACCCGCGUCUGAUUAGGUAGUUGGUGGGGUAACGGCCUACCAAGCCGACGAUCAGUAGCCGACCUGAGAGGGUGACCGGCCACAUUGGGACUGAGACACGGCCCAAACUCCUACGGGAGGCAGCAGUGGGGAAUAUUGCACAAUGGGGGAAACCCUGAUGCAGCGACGCCGCGUGAGCGAAGAAGUAUUUCGGUAUGUAAGGCUCUAUCAGCAGGGAAGAAAAUGACGGUACCUGACUAAGAAGCACCGGCUAAAUACGUGCCAGCAGCCGCAGUAA